RNAcentral lists this long non-coding RNA (9950 nucleotides) under Lactuca sativa (garden lettuce). RNAcentral's name for it is "long non-coding RNA (LSAT_LNC002640)". The record is from RNAcentral. Lineage: Eukaryota; Viridiplantae; Streptophyta; Magnoliopsida; Asterales; Asteraceae.
GUUUACGACAAAUUCAAACUCAUAUGGACCGAACUUUCUUAAUCUUGAUUUCUUGCCUUAUGGUAGCACAGCUGCCCACCAUGUCUUCCAAGUAGUUAAGCAGCUCACCCUUUCCUAUCAAUGUACCUUUCAUUGAUUAAGGUGCUUUGCCUUUUAUGCGUUCAACAUGAGAACUCAUAGAACUCUCAUGCAUAAUUAACUCGAUUGGAUUGGCACAGAACCAAAAUAAUGUCAUCACGAUAGGUUGUAAACCUAAACUCGUGUGCUAGUGAUGAUUGAUACGGUUUAUUUGAUUUGUUCUUGAAACCUUUCAAGACCAUUAAGACUCCCACUGACUCCUUGACAUAUAAGAUCCUCUUGUCAAUAACCAUUUCUUGACAAACAAAUAUUCAAGAGUUAGUGUAGCUUUUAUCAAAACACUUCAUAAAUUGGUCCUAGUUGGUCUUUGUCUUAUCCAAGACAUCACAACUUUCCACAUUUAAUGAAAGUUAUAAACCUUCUUAAUACCUUUCACUCAAUGUCACAAUCUUAACUUUAAGACUUGUUAUUGGAACGAAGUAUGAUUGACUUAUUGAUUUAACCAUUUCUUCAAUUCUUGAUUCCUCUUCUUAGACAUACAAUUGUACUAAGACUCACUUAGAGGAUCAAUUGAGAUAUGGUUCUUAAUCAUUAAGACCUAUCAUAAAGCAUAAAAGGUACUCUCCCUUCUUCUUAGAAUGGAGAAACUUUUAUCUUUCUGCCUACUUGAUUCUUCUUAUUCGUUCUACUAUUGAUUUGAACUUUUUCAAUCAAUUCAGAAUUACACUUAAUCUUGUAAGUAUAAUCAUAUUUACUAAACCUUUAGUAAAUUAUACAAACCCUAAUUCUUAAGGGUUCUCUAUUGUACAUGCAUGUUAUCCAAGACAUCCUAUGUGCUCAUACAAACCCUAAUUCUAGCAUAUUGUUUAAGACAUCCUAUGUGCUCAUACAAACCCUAAUGCUUGGAUCUAGGUUUCUCUAUUGUACAUGCAUGUUAUCCAAGACUAUAAACCCUAAUUCUAGCAUACAAGUACUCAUAUUAGAUAUUAGAAUAGGUUCAUAAUGUUACCUUGAUUGUUAUGUAGCAAUAACAAUCCCAAUUCCUCCUUGAAUUGACUUUGGAAGGCUUAGAGUCACAAGUGUCACUCCUCUAAUGGUUCACAAACACCAUAAGCAAGAGGAUGAAGAGGAGAGAGGAUGGAGGCUGCCCAAAACGUGUUCUAACCCUAGAAAAGACAUUCCCCACGUUUUUGAGCCUUAAGGGUUCUAUAUAUAGUGAGGCUAUUAGGGUUAUCUAACAAGGAAACCCUAAUUUGGUUGCUUAAGCCCUAAGCAACCCAUAGACUCCUUUAAUCAAGCCCAUGGACGAUUUCCUUAUGGGCUUCCCCUAAGAAUUCGUCCACCUCUUGAUUUAAGACAAUCCAUGGCCCAAAUUGCAAUUAUCUUAUAAUUACAAUUCCAGUCCCUUAAGUUUAAUUAAUCUCUUUUAGUCACAAAACUAAUUACCAAUUAAUUAUUGACUAAUAUUAAUUAAACAAUAUGAUUUCUCCUUUAAUAUAUUAUUCCCAUAAUAUAUUAAUAAAUCAUAUUUAAUCCUUUCUCUCCAUAAUUCAUCCUAUCAAGUUGCUUUGGUGAAGGCAACCCAAAAGGACCAUGCACCAUCGGGUCAAGUACAUACCAAAAUAGUUAUGGACUUAGACACUAAUCCAACAGUCUCCCACUUGGAUAAGUCUAAUAACUAUUAUGCGUAUGACUUCAGAUCCUGAUCUGCAAUCGUAGCUUUCCAAAGCCGCUGUCAACUCUGAUCCUAUCAGAUACGCGUGUCCUUAGAUAAGGGAUCAUAUAUUCCUCCAUUCUAGAUAUCAUAUGAGAUAUGAUUUCAAAUCAUUCUCUUUGUACUAUAUCUCGAUUCCCAAUUUAUGACGACUGACUAAUUGAACAAAUCAAAUUAGCCCUAGCCCGGCCGAGCAUUUACGUUUGUCAUCACUAAAUCAUCGAGGGGCCCAAAGAUAUCGCUUUUAUCCUNNNNNNNNNNNNNNNNNNNNNNNNNNNNNNNNNNNNNNNNNNNNNNNNNNNNNNNNNNNNNNNNNNNNNNNNNNNNNNNNNNNNNNNNNNNNNNNNNNNNNNNNNNNNNNNNNNNNNNNNNNNNNNNNNNNNNNNNNNNNNNNNNNNNNNNNNNNNNNNNNNNNNNNNNNNNNNNNNNNNNNNNNNNNNNNNNNNNNNNNNNNNNNNNNNNNNNNNNNNNNNNNNNNNNNNNNNNNNNNNNNNNNNNNNNNNNNNNNNNNNNNNNNNNNNNNNNNNNNNNNNNNNNNNNNNNNNNNNNNNNNNNNNNNNNNNNNNNNNNNNNNNNNNNNNNNNNNNNNNNNNNNNNNNNNNNNNNNNNNNNNNNNNNNNNNNNNNNNNNNNNNNNNNNNNNNACUUGAAUGAAAGAUAGAAUAACUUACCUUGUUGUUGCUUAUGUUCCUUGAAACCUUGUGAGCCUAGCACCCCAAGUGUGAUGCCUCAAAUGCUUCACACAACACCAAAUGCUCUUGGAAAGACUUUUGAGAGAAUACACACUUCUUGAAAUCGGCCUAGCCCUCUUGUUUCAUAUGUGUAGCCGAUUUUGGUGGAGAAUAGGAUUCUUAUAUAGUGUUGACACAUCUAGGGUUACACCAUGUAAACCCUAAUGUGUCAUGACUCUUCAUUUCCAUGACCCAUGGGUUUGUAACUCCCAUGGAGCAUCCAUGGAGCAUCCUAUGGGUAGAACCCAACUUGAUAAUCCAUGGAGCCUCUUAGCCCACUAUAUAAGAUAUGAAUGAUUUACAUAAUCAACCCAUAUAUUUAAUUAGUUAUCUUUUGAUCACUUAAUUAAUUCCAAAUUAAUUCAUUGAUUAAACUAAUCAAAUAAUAUUAUUAAUAUAUUAGAACUUAUAAUAUAUUAAUAAUCUCUAAGUGUUAUUCCUCUCAUUUAGUCUAUCCAUUUGCAUGGUGCCAUGCAACCCAAAUGGACCAUGCCGGGUCGGGUCAAGUACUGACCCGAAAUAGUUAUGGACUUAGACACCUUAUCCAACAGACUGGACCCGUCGUAUGCAUGACUGGUAUUCCACCCGAGGCUGAUUGGCCCUGGCAUGAGUGUUUGUGUUUUAGUGGGUUGAUUUUGUAUGAUAUUGUGGGACAAAUGUCCUAUCAGCACAAAGGCUUCGCCUCGGGAAGAUGGAUAGUUGGGUUUCCAAUUCUUUGGAUCAUCAGGAUUUUGUAAGUUGGCAGAAUGGCAUGAAGGAUAGACCUUAUGAAAAGGUUCGAUUGAGAUUCUCAUCACCUUUCUCGAUUCACACUUGCAAAAGUGCGUCAUGGAUUAGGAGGCUAUAGUAUCAUUGGAGAACAUUCAUGUCGUUGAGUGCCUAGAUUAUUUGGAGAGGCCUGUGGCCAUUUGGGAGAGAGGGGUGAAGGUUCUGUGGGACAAGGAGGUACCUUUGGUAAGGGUACAGUGGGAGCUCCAAAGAGGGUCCGAGUGGACGUGGGAGCCGAAGGCAGAGUUGCGGGAACACUAUCCGAGAAUCUUCGUUGUAGCAGACUUUGAGGACGAAGUCUAGUUCAAGUGGGGGAGAAUUCUAACGCCCCGAUUCUCGAAUACCAAUUUAUGGUUAUCAAUUCUCGUGAAUUCAAGAUCUACUCGACGAGUUGGUUGCUUGAUUCGUCGAGUAGCAGCGAGUUUGGGCCACGUGUUUAAGCGACCAAUUCGCUGAUUCGGAAGAGUGACUCGACGAGUUGGAGUUGAGGGUUAAAUCCUAAUUUCUGGGGUUUGGCACCCUAUUUAAGGGACCAUUAGCCUUCCUUAGUUCCUUUGCAGCCUCUUGAGAGUCCAGAAAUCCUAAUUCGUGUGAUUGUGCUCCAUUUGUGCGUUUUAAAGCUUUGGAAGGUGUAUCUUUGUAAGAAGAACUUGAAGAGCAAGUGACUAGGAGCAAAGGAAAUGUUGGGAUAUGAUAUCUACCUCAGAUGGCAUCUUUUGGUAGGUAUCAAGUCGUUACCUUGACCUCAUUUCAUUAUAGAUCUCAUUUUGUUAAAGUUUUGGGCUUUUCUAGCAUAUUGUGAAGUUGUUUUUGGGUAUGAGCUUGGAUCUGAAGUUGUAACUUUAGAUCUGAACUCUUCUUGGUCUCUAAAUCCAUAAAGCUAUCAGCUUUGGCAAGUAUGGACCCCUCCUUAAGUAUAAAACCCCAUUUCAAGAUUGGUUUUGGCAUUUUGAGUCAUUAGAGCAUUGCAUGCAUGUAAAGUUUGCAACUUUACAUGAUAAGCAUGCCUUGGGAAGUUGGAUCUGUAGUAUUGUAACAUCCGGAAUUCCAGGUAUUAUAUUUUAUCAUUUAUUUUUGAGAAAAAGGGAGGGACUAGGAGAUUUGAGUCGUAGACUCGUUGAGUAGGACCGCGAAUGUUGACUAGAUUAAUGAACGGACUCGACGAGUCGGGAAGGGUGGACUCAACGAGUCCGCGUUGUGGAUUGAAACCCUAAUUCUCGGGGUCUAUGCCCUAUUUAAAGGUUGCCAUGAUAGAAGAGAUUUCACCAAAAUAAGCCUAGAGUGCCUUACAUGUGUACCAACAUUCGACCUUUACAUGUUUAUUGGUCAUGGGGAAGUCAGAUCUAUAGAUUAGAGAAGCAGAUCUAACCUCAGGAGGUCAGAUGAGUGUUUUCAUUGGAGGGACUCGCCGAGCCCAUAAGGGACUCGACGAGUCGAAUCUGGUUGCCCCAUGAUUCGCGACUUGUGAUAAACCGUUGGGUGUGGGGUUGACUCAACGAGUCGAGUGAGGACCAGGGACGAAGACGACACGCAUGAACUCGCCGAGCCACACAAGUGCACUCGACGAGUCUGGUCAAAGUCUGACUGUUGACUUUCGUUGACUGCUAGGGUUUAGUGAGUGUUUGGACUUAUGAGCCAUUAGAGGGAUAGAAUGGUCUUUUAGCCUUCUUAGAGAACUGAGAGUAAUUAUUUAUGUGAGUAGGUAGAGGCUAGUGCAGUAUUUCAGAGUGUGAGGUUUACCGAGUUAUCCGAGGUGAGUGUUCUCAUUAUACUUUACCUAGAGUGGUAAUUAGAGUUAUGUGACGGAGUAUAUUGUAUGCCAUGUGUUAUCUAUGUGAUUAUGUGCUAUAUUAGAUACAGAGUUUACAAAGUUAGGACUGAAUGGUUCACAGAGUUAGGACCAGAAGGUCCAUAAAGUAUGGGACUGAAGGGUCCCACUGAGACACUUUGACCAGAGAGUCAUACAGAGUUAUAGCCUCGACUGGCUAAUAUGUGUUGCAUGUGGUAUUUUGGGGAACUCACUAAGCAUUUAUGCUUACAGUGUUGUGUUAUGUGUUUCAGGUACAAGUGAGGAUCGCAGGAAGGCGCCGACAUAAUCAGUACACGCACAUGAGGAGUUUUUAUACAUUAUGAUCUUGGGUUGUGUUUCUAUGGAUUGAUAUGUGAUACAAUGAGAUUUUUAUAAUAUUAUGAAUGAAAGUAUGCUUAUAAAAAUGUGAAAAAAUUGUUUGAAAAAUUACGGUGUUACAAUUAUGGAGCCUUAGCAUGGCUUAAAAAGCAUCUGUAUGGAUGAAGGACUGAAAGGACUCGGUGAGUCGCAUUGUAGAAUUGGCAGGUCAUAUGAAGAUGUUCAUGAACUCAACGGGUUGGAUGAGAAACUACGCGAGUUCGAUGAAGAUUUACUUGGGCUCGGCGAGUGUCAUGUUGACUCGACGAGUUGGCAUCUUAUGCAAGGAACUCGGCGAGUAGCUGAAGGUACUCGACGAGUUAAGGUCAACAUCGACUGUUAACCUUGAUAGUUGACUUUAACCAAGGGUUGACCAUUUUGAAUUUUGAGGAUAAUUGGUAAGAAGGUAUUUAUGAAUUGGAUCUUUGAUUGUUAUAGGUGUUGGAGUUUGGGGUAGUGUUUCGGGAGCGUGAUUCGUGGUUCAGUCCGGCAUUGCAAGGUGAGUUAUCCUCACUGUACUCAAGGGUCUAAGGCACCAAGGCCGACCCUUUGUUUGUUCAUGGGAUUAUUAAUAUUGUAAUAUGUUAAUUCUGUAUCUUGGUAGAUGUGGUGGUUAUAUGCUAGUAUGAUUUGUUAGAUCGGUAGCCUGGUAGAUCGGAGAUGGUUAUGCUUAGUGACCCAUAGUUGGUCUGACUGUCUGCAUGCUAGUUGUUAUGCCAGUUGGGUAGAUCUAUAGGACUACCUGUAGUAUUAUGUGAUUAUCUGUAUAUGCAUUAGUUGUGUNUCAAGUGACGUUUGGUUUUCCAUAACUUAAGGACAAGUUAUGGACUCCGUUAAAACACAAUAUGAUCAAGAAUUAAACUACCACAUAGGUUACAAAUAAUUCCUAUGAUCAUCUUGAUGGGUUUUGGUCAUAAGACAUCAUNGUGCGGUAACCAACAAACCCAAGAGCGUUCCAGAUAUGAGCGGAGGUAGACUCGAAUUGUGGGCUCGAUGGCGAUCUAGGUUUAUCUAUUGUACACGCAUGUUAUCCAAGACUAUAAACCCUAAUUCUAGCAUACAAGUAAUCAUAUUAGAUAUUAGAAUAGGUUCAUAAUGUUACCUUGAUUGUUAUGUAGCAAUAAAAAUCCCAAAUCUCCUUGUGUUGACUUUGGAAGGCUUAGAGUCACAAGUGUCACACCUCUAAUGGUUCACAAACACCAUAAGCAAGAGGAUGAAGAGGAGAGAGAUGGAGGCUGCCCAAAACGUGUUCUGACCCUAGAAAAGAAAUUCCCCACGUUUUUGAGCCUUAAGGGUUCUAUAUAUAGUGAGGCUAUUAGGGUUAUCUAACAAGGAAACCCUAAUUUGGUUGCUUAAGCCCUAAGCAACCCAUAGACUCCUUUAAUCAAGCCCAUGGAUGAUUUCCUUAUGGGUUUCCCCAUAGAAUUCGUCCACCCCUCGAUUCAAGGCAAUCCAUGGCCCAAAUUGCAAUUAUCCUAUAAUUACAAUUCCAGUCCCUUAAGUUUAAUUAAUCUCUUUUAGUCACAAAACUAAUUACCAAUUAAUUAUUGACUAAUAUUAAUUAAACAAUAUGAUUUCUCCUUUAAUAUAUUAUUCCCAUAAUAUAUUAAUAAAUCAUAUUUAAUCCUUUCUCUCCAUAAUUCAUCCUAUCAAGUUGCUUUGGUGAAGGCAACCCAAAAGGACCAUGCACCAUCGGGUCAAGUACAUACCAAAAUAGUUAUGGACUUAGACACUAAUCCAACAGUCUCCCACUUGGAUAAGUCUAAUAACUAUUAUGCGUAUGACUUCAGAUCCUGAUCUGCAAUCGUAGCUUUCCAAAGCCGCUGUCAACUCUGAUCCUAUCAGAUACGCGUGUCCUUUAGAUAAGGGAUCAUAUAUUCCUCCAUUCUAGAUAUCAUAUGAGAUAUGAUUUCAAAUCAUUCUCUUUGUACUAUAUCUCGAUUCCCGAUUUAUGACGACUGACUAAUUGAACAAAUCAAAUUAGCCCUAGCCCGGCCGAGCAUUUACGUUUGUCAUCACUAAAUCAUCGAGGGGCCCAAAGAUAUCGCUUUUAUCCUACUUUGGAUAAAAGGAACGGAUAAACUUUGAUACAAUGCUUGCUUGCACUCACUCACCGAAUCACACACAACAAUAUGUUUUAUAACACCAAGUUACUAGUGCGUUUACAUAUUAUCAAUGUGCAACCGAUUUGCAAGAUACAACUCACACAUCUCGGUUUCAAGAAUAUAAGAUGUUAUCGUCUCACCAAUCACUCGUGAUACAAUUCAUGGAGUGAUCCAAGUGAGCGUGGGUUUAAUCCAAUGCUCAAAUCAUAUUCAUAAGCACUCAUGAACAUUGCAGCAAACAUUUGCUUAUGUCUAAUACUCUUUUAGACAAUCCACACACCAAUUCACGACAGUCUUCAUUCAUAUCUACUUCCAACAUAUGAACGACUGUGGCCCGUUCGAAUAAUUCGAUUAUUCUUAAUAAAUUCAAUUAUUCUGGAAGUCAAAACAUGCAAAUGUGAAACACAAGAAUAAUACUAAUCCCAUAUGGCCUCAAACCUUUGAGUAUAAAUAAAACUCCUUUUAUUUAUCACCAUAUCGAUUACUCAUUAUUUGUCGUUUCGGGUAAUCAACUUCUUACUUGAAUUAUUACACUUGUCCUAUGCUCUUAGCAUGCACACAAUGUUUACCUAUGGUUCUUACUUUGUGAAAUAGACCAAAUUGAGCACAUUUCCAAUCAUUCUCAUUUCAAAAUCCAUAAUCCUUUUUCAUAAGUGUAAGAAUAUCAAAUUCUUGCCACUGAUAUUACAAAGUCCUCUAUUGCCAAUGAUAUUACAAAGUCCUCUAUCGGAUAUUGUUACAAGACAAUUCCUUAGAUAUGAUGUCUCUCACUCAAAGUACAUUCCUUUGAACAUCCUUUUGCAUAAAGGUUUCUAAUCUAGUCAUAGAUUUUUAAUAUUCAAUUCCCAAUAUGGAUACAUUUCCAUAUUUUCCAUAUGACAACUCAUUCUUAAUAGAAUCUUAUCUAUUCGUAAUGAUGUCGAUAUGGUCCAUCCAAUAUGGAAACAUUUCCAUAAUUUCCAUAUGACAACUCAUUCUUAAUAGAAUCUUUUCUAUUCAUAAUAAUGUCGAUAUGGUCCAUCCAAUACCAUGCUUCCAACUACUCACAAGCGACCAAUCCUCGUCGAACUUUGGAUUGUCCUUUGAUAGUUGUUUAAUUAUUUUAGUCAAAACCGAUUCUAGUCCUUUUUCCCUCUAAAUGCGCUAGACAUUUGGAAAAUUUUAGAAUGGUCAAAUAUUAUAGCAUUUGCAAUCGAUCCAAUACCCGAAGCGUAUGGGACACGAUGCAUAAUAUUUCAUUUGCUAUGUUCUCAAAAUUUGAAUUGUGAAGAGGAAUGUCGUAAUCAUAAUCGAAAUUUUAAGAACACACUAUGUACCCUUGACUAAAUUUAUUAACAUUUCUCAACCUAAUCCUUUAGAUUUGAAAUGAAGCAUAAUAUUCUCUCCCUUAAUUAUAGCAAAACAACUUUACAACCCUUACGACUUUGCAAGGUAUAACUCUUGUUUUCUAUAAUUAAUAUUGCCAACUUGCAAUACGUGCCUUAAUAAUCAUACAAUCAUAACAUUUAUGCUCCCACUAUCAUGAUGAUUAUUAUAAAACAUAACACUUAUGCUCCCACUAGCUUCGACAUGUAUUCAGAAACAUCUUAACUUUCAGAAAAACAAUGCUUAUUGAAUUUCUUAAGUUCAUGUUUCUAAUACUUAGUGCUUUGAUAAUCUUUUAUCAAGGCUUCUUGAACUUAUACACCUUUGCCUUAGAUAGUUCAUAUGUGUGUCUAAACAAUUAAGACUAAUUGCCAAACCUCACAAUUCAAAUUAUGGAAAGGGAUACCGUAACCAUAAUCGAAUUCGAGAAUGCAAUUUUACAAUCACUAUCUUCUUAAAAUCUUUCUUAGUGAAAGCAUUUCCUCACAAUCAUUUUCAUGAAGGAGGAAAUCUUAUGACACUUAGAAUUAAACGGUGCAUGUGUUCCUAUCCAUGUGAAUUUGUUAAAACCAGAGUUUACGACAAAUUCAAAAUCAUAUGAUCGAACUUUCUUAAUCUCGAUUUCUUGCCUUAUGGUAGCACAGCUGCCCACCAUGUCUUCCAAUUACUUAAGCAGGUCACCUUUUCUUAUCAAUGUACUUUCCAUUGAUCAAGGUUCUGGCCUUUCAUGCAUUCAAAUGAGAACUCAUAGGACUUACAUGCAUAAUUAACUUGAUUGGAUUGGCACAGAAACAAAAUAAUGUCAACACGAUAGGUUGUAAACCUCAACUCGUGUGCUAGUGAUGAUCGAUAAGGUUUAUUUAAUUUGUUCUUGAAACCUUUCAAAACCAUUAAGACUCCCAUUGAGUCCUUUACAUAUAAGAUUCUCUUGUCAAUAAACAUUUCUUGACAAACAAAUAUUCAAGAGUUAGUGUAGCUUUUAUCAAAACACUUCAUAAAUUGGUCCUAGUUGGUCUUUGUCUU